UGGGGAAUAUUGCACAAUGGAGGAAACUCUGAUGCAGCGACGCCGCGUGAGUGAAGAAGUAGUUCGCUAUGUAAAGCUCUAUCAGCAGGGAAGAUAGUGACGGUACCUGACUAAGAAGCUCCGGCUAAAUACGUGCCAGCAGCCGCGGUAAUACGUAUGGUGCAAGCGUUAUCCGGAUUUACUGGGUGUAAAGGGAGCGUAGACGGAGUGGCAAGUCUGAUGUGAAAACCCGGGGCUCAACCCCGGGACUGCAUUGGAAACUGUCAAUCUGGAGUACCGGAGAGGUAGGCGGAAUUCCCGGUGUAGCGGUGGAAUGCGUAGAUAUCGGGAGGAACACCAGUGGCGAAGGCGGCCUACUGGGCACCAACUGACGCUGAGGCUCGAAAGUGUGGGUAGCAAACAGGAUUAGAUACCCUGGUAGUCCACACCGUAAACGAUGAUUACUAGGUGUUGGAGGAUUGACCCCUUCAGUGCCGCAGUUAACACAAUAAGUAAUCCACCUGGGGAGUACGACCGCAAGGUUGAAACUCAAAGGAAUUGACGGGGGCCCGCACAAGCAGUGGAGUAUGUGGUUUAAUUCGACGCAACGCGAAGAACCUUACCAAGUCUUGACAUCCCUUGACGAACAUAGAAAUAUGUUUUCUCUUCGGAGCAAGGAGACAGGUGGUGCAUGGUUGUCGUCAGCUCGUGUCGUGAGAUGUUGGGUUAAGUCCCGCAACGAGCGCAACCCUUAUCUUUAGUAGCCAGCGAGUAAAGUCGGGCACUCUAGAGAGACUGCCGGGGAUAACCCGGAGGAAGGUGGGGAUGACGUCAAAUCAUCAUGCCCCUUAUGACCAGGGCUACACACGUGCUACAAUGGCGUAAACAAAGGGAAGCGACCCUGUGAAGGCAAGCGAAUCCCAAAAAUAACGUCCCAGUUCGGAUUGUAGUCUGCAACUCGACUACAUGAAGCUGGAAUCGCUAGUAAUCGCGAAUCAGCAUGUCGCGGUGAAUACGUUCCC
RNAcentral lists this ribosomal RNA (1001 nucleotides) under uncultured bacterium. RNAcentral's name for it is "bacterial SSU rRNA". It matches the Rfam family "Bacterial small subunit ribosomal RNA", at positions 355 to 1375 of the family's 1533-position model. The record is from RNAcentral.